This 116-nucleotide small RNA is filed under the name Marmota monax (woodchuck). Lineage: Eukaryota; Metazoa; Chordata; Mammalia; Rodentia; Sciuridae. The record is from RNAcentral.
GCCAGGCGUGGUGGCUCCUACCUAUAAUUCCAGGUACUCAGAAGGCUGAGGCAGGAGAAUCACUUGAACCCAGGAGUUUGAGGCCAGCCUGGGCAAUGUGCAAGACCCUGUCUUCU